RNAcentral lists this ribosomal RNA (700 nucleotides) under uncultured bacterium. Its description in RNAcentral is "bacterial SSU rRNA". It matches the Rfam family "Bacterial small subunit ribosomal RNA", at positions 42 to 731 of the family's 1533-position model. The record is from RNAcentral.
UCAGGCCUAACACAUGCAAGUCGAGCGGUAACAGAGAGAAGCUUGCUUCUUUGCUGACGAGCGGCGGACGGGUGAGUAAGACUUGGGAAUUUGCCUUUAGGCGGGGGACAACCACUGGAAACGGUGGCUAAUACCGCAUAAUGUCUACGGACCAAAGUGGGGGACCUUCGGGCCUCACACCUAAAGAUGAGCCCAAGCGGGAUUAGCUAGUUGGUGGGGUAAAGGCUCACCAAGGCGACGAUCCCUAGCUGUUCUGAGAGGAUGAUCAGCCACACUGGGACUGAGACACGGCCCAGACUCCUACGGGAGGCAGCAGUGGGGAAUAUUGCACAAUGGGGGAAACCCUGAUGCAGCCAUGCCGCGUGUGUGAAGAAGGCCUUCGGGUUGUAAAGCACUUUCAGUGGUGAGGAAAGGGUAGUCGUUAAUAACGGCUACAGUUGACGUUAGCCACAGAAGAAGCACCGGCUAACUCCGUGCCAGCAGCCGCGGUAAUACGGAGGGUGCAAGCGUUAAUCGGAAUUACUGGGCGUAAAGCGUACGUAGGCGGUGUGUUAAGCUAGAUGUGAAAGCCCCGGGCUCAACCUGGGAAUAGCAUUUAGAACUGGCACGCUAGAGUCCUGAAGAGGGUGGUAGAAUUUCCAGUGUAGCGGUGAAAUGCGUAGAUAUUGGAAGGAAUACCGGAGGCGAAGGCGGCCACCUC